Molecule: ribosomal RNA, 467 nt
Filed under: uncultured bacterium
Lineage: Bacteria
Description: partial 16S ribosomal RNA
Rfam family: Bacterial small subunit ribosomal RNA
Source: RNAcentral
GACGAACGCUGGCGGCGUGCUUAACACAUGCAAGUCGAACGGAAAGGCCUGCUUUUGUGGGGUGCUCGAGUGGCGAACGGGUGAGUAACACGUGAGUAACCUGCCCUUGACUUUGGGAUAACUUCAGGAAACUGGGGCUAAUACCGGAUAGGAGCUCCUGCUGCAUGGUGGGGGUUGGAAAGUUUCGGCGGUUGGGGAUGGACUCGCGGCUUAUCAGCUUGUUGGUGGGGUAGUGGCUUACCAAGGCCUUGACGGGUAGUCGGCCUGAGAGGGUGACCGGCCACAUUGGGACUGAGAUACGGCCCAGACUCCUACGGGAGGCAGCAGUGGGGAAUAUUGCACAAUGGGCGGAAGCCUGAUGCAGCAACGCCGCGUGCGGGAUGACGGCCUUCGGGUUGUAAACCGCUUUCGCCUGUGACGAAGCGUGAGUGACGGUAAUGGGUAAAGAAGCACCGGCUAACUACGUG